Molecule: long non-coding RNA, 2607 nt
Organism: Lagopus muta (rock ptarmigan)
Lineage: Eukaryota; Metazoa; Chordata; Aves; Galliformes; Phasianidae
Exons: 3
Source: RefSeq, a predicted model, not a curated record
AGCAGUGCCUGCAGCAGGAGGGAGCUGUGUCCUGCUGAGGACUCUGCCUAUGGGUUUAGUGGAUUUCAGUUGCAUGCCAUGACAGAUUAUGCUGUGGAUUAUCUUCAGAUACGUGUAGGAGAGGCAUUUCAAGGUUUGCUAUCAGCAACCCCAGCUUACAGAGCUACGACCUGAUCCUGGGCCUGAUCACUCCUUGUAGAAAGACUUCACCUUCUCCAUGCCUUCAUUCUCCAUGAAGUCCUGCAAAAUGGAGAAGAAAGUCAGAGAAAAAGCAAGUGUAAUGCUUUUUGGGGAUUCCAAAAAUGGACAUUAUAUCAACCGAGGAAAUGAUUUCCUUAUUUUUCCAUCCAAGUAGAAGCCCAGUCUUCACACCUGUGACUAAGGAAGGAAGCAUUCUUUGCCAAGAAUGAUGAUACCAUUGUUUCUGAAAGAGGUGUGGACAAAUCAGAGCACAGCAAUUUAAGAGGUGUGGGAAUCACAAAGGCAAUUUCAGUUCCACUAGUCUGCUUUUUAUUUCUGGCAAUGCUCUUUUUCUAUUCUUCUAACAAUUAGAAAAAUAAGAAGGCUGCUUUUGUCUGCUGAAGAAAAACUUAGAAGGACCAUGAUCAGCUUUGAGCAUCAAUCCAUGUCUUCUUCGUAUCACAAAUAAAAGGAUUUUCAUAAAUUGUUCUCACUGUUUUUUUUGUCUUUGCAAAUAUUAUUCACCAUUUUUGGUAGGCAUCAUGACAGAAGGAGUCAUCAUGAAGAGGAGUAUUUGAUAGCUGGAGAGAUGUAAUGGGAAGCAUCACAGCAACUCUGGAAGAAUGGAAAAAUGUAUCUUGGCCAUCACCAGCAGAGAAAAGAGGACAGACAGGACAUAAACAAAGGCAAGAACAGAAAAACAGCAGCAACGUCAUACAAAGCAUGGCCCAUAAAUCCAAUGAUCUUUGAUUUAGUAAAGAUUCUUAAAGAAGAGAGAACUAAAUGUGAUAUGAACUAGGAGUGUGUCCUGAUUUCAGCUGGGAUGGAGUUGAUUUUCUUCAGAGUGGCUGACAUGAUGCUGUGUUCCGGCCUUAGGAAGGAAACAAGGUUCAUAACAAACCAAUGUUUUAGUUGUUGCUGAGCAGCGUUGCACAGAGCCAAGGAUGUUUCAGCUCCUUGUGCUGUCCUGCCAGUGAAGGGGUCAGGGGGCACAAGGAGCUGGAAGAAGACAUAAUCAGGAUGGCUGACCUAAACUGGCCAAAGGGAUAUUCCAUACCACAGGACAUUUUGUUAUCUAAAAAACUGGGUGAGUUGGCUGUGGGGAACAGACAUUGCCUGGGGACUGUCUGGGCAUUGGUCAGUGAAUGGUGAGCAAUUGCACUGUACAUCACUUGUUUUAUAAAUAUACAUAUAUAUGUGUGUGUGUAUAAAUAAGUAUACGUAAUUAUCGUUAAUAUUAUUUUCCCUUCCCUUUCUGUCAUACUAAAUAUUUUUUAUCUCAAACCAUGAAUUCUCUUUUGUUGUUUUUUAUCCUCCAUCCCAAAGGGAGAAGGGAGUGAGCAAACAGUUGUGUGGUGCUUAGUUGUCUGCUGAGUUAAAACACAACAGGGUGGGAAAAAUUAUAUUAGUAGGUGUAUUUCUUUUGAACUGUCUGGGAUGCCUCCUAGACAACAGUAGAACAAGGAAUGCAUAAAAGAAAAACAUUCCGAGGCUGGGUAGGCAGUGAGGGCAUGGCUACAAAACAGCUGAAACUGACCACCUACAUGAAUGAAAUACGGAAGUGAUGGGAGUUUAUUCAGGAUGACAAAAGAUCUUCAGAUGUUGCCAGAAAGCGAUUAGUACCCGCCUCAUCCCCCAUGUGCGUUCUUUUUUCUUUUUAAGCUCUGCCACUCCUCGGUGCACUAAGUCAGCACUUAAGCACCAAGAACUGCAGCUUUCCCACAUAGCGUUGCUGUGUUGUAACAUCUGGCAAAUGUCCAGAUUACAAAAAAAAAUAAAACAAAAAAAAUUACUAAACACCUUGAAAAGCUGAUGAAAGUUCUCUACCUCUCUAUCCUGUGGACAGUUUGAAGAUGUGACCUGGAGAAAAUGAAGAAAACUCCAUGAACUGCUCUGACAAGUCCAUGUGUAUGUGCACACGCACACCACUCCCUUUCCUUAGGGCAGCUCUCCAGCUAAUGAAGAUUCUUACUUCUCCGCAGGCAAGGCAUAUAUCCAUUUAUGGGAAGACUAGAAGUCAGGAUGAUGAGUCUGUGUGAGGUCAGCUGGAAUAUAAUAUAAUAUAAAAGGUCCAUUUUGAUGCAAUUCUGCCAUCCUCUCACCCCCCCCAUGAAUGGUUUGUUUACCAGUGCCAUAAAAAUUUGUUCCACAAAGAACUUGAAAAAGUGCUCUCAGCUCAGCAAUUUCAAACUGGAUUUUGAAAGUCAGUUCCCUUUUGUGUGUAGCUCAUGUGCUGUCACCAACAAUAAAUGUCAGAAUUGAGGUAAUUCUGUUCAUAAAAGACCUAGAAAAGGCUUUGGAUUUAUCUCCCCCAGCAUUAUUUCUGCAAAGCCUAUGAAGAAGAGAUUAAUAAAAUAUAUUUUUGCCGAAGAUUUCAGAUGUGAUUUUGACUAUAAGCAUGCUUCAGGCUAAGUUAAAACUGUGUGU